GGACUCACAGGCCUCCCUUCCACUCACAGCUUUUUGAAGUAGCUCUGUGGACUUACACCAGAGAGAUGAAAAGCUGAAAUCCAGCUGCCGUUCAUUCCUGCUUUGAGAUUAGGAAAGGUAGAGCUGAAUUUGGGCUAUGUUACUCAGAAGCUUUUCCCCAGCUGAUGGAGGCCUGCCCUGGAGGUGCUCAGCUCCAUCUCUGCUGUCCAGGCUGUGAGCAAGAACACCUAAGGAAAGCCAGCAGCCUCCUUCACUCUCCCUCCCCAUCCAUUCAGGUUUUUAUGCUUUAAUUUCCUAACUGUUCCUGCAUUACUUCACAGUUGAUGACGUGUGGGGCCAAGCUCUUGGCACACGUGAGCACAGUGGAUAUUCAAGGAGCGUUAACUCGGGUCCAUUUUUCUUUCCAUCAAACACAGCCUCCUGGUAAAAGAGCCAUUCAGGAUGCCUGGAGGAGCCCAGAUUUCAAAUCUGAUGAAGUCUGCAGUUCUAUAAAUUCCCUCCCUCUUUUGUGCUGAUGGCAACGACUUUUAUAUGUAUUUUCAUGUCUUUCUCUCCAGAGAUAAAUUUUGUGGCCUGCCACUGAAUCUGCUUCCUAAAAUGUAGCUUGGAGAUUUUAUUUGAGAUAAACUAUCAUGUGA
This 638-nucleotide long non-coding RNA is filed under the name Homo sapiens (human). Its description in RNAcentral is "HSALNT0270047". The record is from RNAcentral. Lineage: Eukaryota; Metazoa; Chordata; Mammalia; Primates; Hominidae.